Molecule: ribosomal RNA, 320 nt
Filed under: Rhizobium sp. JEYF5
Lineage: Bacteria; Pseudomonadati; Pseudomonadota; Alphaproteobacteria; Hyphomicrobiales; Rhizobiaceae
Description: bacterial SSU rRNA
Rfam family: Bacterial small subunit ribosomal RNA
Source: RNAcentral
AGAAUUCGGCUUUGGCUCAGAACGAACGCUGGCGGCAGGCUUAACACAUGCAAGUCGAGCGCGUAGCAAUACGAGCGGCAGACGGGUGAGUAACGCGUGGGAACGUACCCUUUACUACGGAAUAACGCAGGGAAACUUGUGCUAAUACCGUAUGUGCCCUUUUGGGGAAAGAUUUAUCGGUAAGGGAUCGGCCCGCGUUGGAUUAGCUAGUUGGUGGGGUAAAGGCCUACCAAGGCGACGAUCCAUAGCUGGUCUGAGAGGAUGAUCAGCCACAUUGGGACUGAGACACGGCCCAAACUCCUACGGGAGGCAGCAGUGGG